GGGUACUUGGUCGAGUCUGGUUUAUGGCACUCGUCUUGAAAACGAGCACUCCCUUAAAGAGUCGUCGGUUCAAAUCCGACAGUGCCCG
Rhizopogon vesiculosus is the source of this 88-nucleotide transfer RNA. It matches the Rfam family "tRNA". From Rfam's summary of the family: Transfer RNA (tRNA) molecules are approximately 80 nucleotides in length. Their secondary structure includes four short double-helical elements and three loops (D, anti-codon, and T loops). NCBI's taxonomy places the organism in Eukaryota, Fungi, Basidiomycota, Agaricomycetes, Boletales, Rhizopogonaceae. The record is from Rfam.